This 314-nucleotide ribosomal RNA is filed under the name Salmonella enterica. RNAcentral describes it as "partial 23S ribosomal RNA". It matches the Rfam family "Bacterial large subunit ribosomal RNA", at positions 161 to 513 of the family's 2925-position model. RNAcentral also lists the same sequence under 2 other names. Lineage: Bacteria; Pseudomonadati; Pseudomonadota; Gammaproteobacteria; Enterobacterales; Enterobacteriaceae. The record is from RNAcentral.
AAUCCAUAGGUUAAUGAGGCGAACCGGGGGAACUGAAACAUCUAAGUACCCCGAGGAAAAGAAAUCAACCGAGAUUCCCCCAGUAGCGGCGAGCGAACGGGGAGGAGCCCAGAGCCUGAAUCAGCAUGUGUGUUAGUGGAAGCGUCUGGAAAGGCGCGCGAUACAGGGUGACAGCCCCGUACACAAAAGCGCAUGUGCUGUGAGCUCGAUGAGUAGGGCGGGACACGUGGUAUCCUGUCUGAAUAUGGGGGGACCAUCCUCCAAGGCUAAAUACUCCUGACUGACCGAUAGUGAACCAGUACCGUGAGGGAAAG